CGGGGCGUGGCGCAGCCUGGUAGCGCACUUGCAUGGGGUGCAAGGGGUCGAAGGUUCGAAUCCUUUCGCCCCGACCA
RNAcentral lists this transfer RNA (77 nucleotides) under Rugosibacter aromaticivorans. RNAcentral describes it as "tRNA-Pro (GGG) (tRNA-Pro-GGG-1-1)". It matches the Rfam family "tRNA". Rfam says of the family: Transfer RNA (tRNA) molecules are approximately 80 nucleotides in length. RNAcentral also lists the same sequence under 8 other names. The record is from RNAcentral. Lineage: Bacteria; Pseudomonadati; Pseudomonadota; Betaproteobacteria; Nitrosomonadales; Sterolibacteriaceae.